UACAGUAUACUAACCUACUUAGAUCAGUGCGUGUGUGUGCACGCCUGCCCUGAAGACACACUUGUGUGUGCACGCUUGCGUCAGGAGUUAUUAGUCAAGUCCUCAGAGUUUCCAUUUUAGAAGGUUAUUUUAUUUUCCUCUGCGCUGGUGACAUUCAGCUGGACAGUGGGUGUUUUCUUUGGUCGGCCUACUAAUGCUGUGGAGAGAGGAAAAUGCAUGAAGGUGAAAAUCAUUUUUGUGUAGUGUGGAAAAGGACACAUGGCAAAAUGCUUCUCCUGUUUCUGUGUCUUGGUUUGGCCACUUCUAAUGUCCAGUCAGCAAAAAACGGGGUUAAUGUAACGUGUGAAAAUCAAUCGGUUGUAGCAGGACAGAACCAUAACCUGACGUGUAAUGUGGAUUUCAAUGCCGUAGGUAACAAAAGCUCGGGAUGUACAGCUGAUAAGUAUGCAUGGAAGAAAAAUUCAACUAUAAUACAACAUUGUACAAAACUCUGUAAUGUGACAGUAACGAACAACACCUACUCUUAUGAGAUAAAACAUGCUACCAAAGCUGAUGAGGGAAACUACAACUUUUCAAUUUUCACAAACUGUGGCGAUAGAUAUGGAUUAUUCAACGUUUCCGUUACAUAUGUGUACAAUCAUACACCACAAAGCUCUUUAUCAACUACUCCUGUGCAAUACCGGACAGUGUUUUUUUGGGGGGUUUUUUUGUCUUUUUUUUUAUAAUUUUUUUUAUUAAGGACAAAUCAUACGGACAACUCUUAAGGACAAAUCAUAGGCAUAAGCAUAAACAUUUUGCUACACCAGCGAUAACAUCUACAAAAUAUGUGUACGCGACCAAUAACAUUUGAUUUGAUCAUCAGAAGCCCACGAUGAAGAUGAGGCAAUUGAAAGUACAUUUGGAUCCCCUGGAGUUGUGCUGGCUGAAAAACACCCUUUUGUUGGAAAUGCUCAGUUAGUGGAGUUUCAGUUCCAUGGAAAAUAUGUUUUUUAAAAGUUGAA
Molecule: long non-coding RNA, 1001 nt
Organism: Coregonus clupeaformis (lake whitefish)
Lineage: Eukaryota; Metazoa; Chordata; Actinopteri; Salmoniformes; Salmonidae
Exons: 3
Source: RefSeq, a predicted model, not a curated record